Molecule: ribosomal RNA, 301 nt
Filed under: uncultured bacterium
Lineage: Bacteria
Description: partial 16S ribosomal RNA
Rfam family: Bacterial small subunit ribosomal RNA
Source: RNAcentral
CAGUCGCCGCGGUAAAACAGAGGGUGCAAGCGUUAAUCGGAAUUACUGGGCGUAAAGCGCGCGUAGGUGGUUUGUUAAGUUGGAUGUGAAAGCCCCGGGCUCAACCUGGGAACUGCAUCCAAAACUGGCAAGCUAGAGUACGGUAGAGGGUGGUGGAAUUUCCUGUGUAGCGGUGAAAUGCGUAGAUAUAGGAAGGAACACCAGUGGCGAAGGCGACCACCUGGACUGAUACUGACACUGAGGUGCGAAAGCGUGGGGAGCAAACAGGAUUAGAGACCCCAGUAGUCCCUGUCUCUUAUAC